CUCCUUUGUGCGGCUGCGCAGUCCGCUCCCUCAACAAUGGCUUCGUCUGUGGUGAACGUGGAGUGGCAGACUUCUCUGGUCAUCCAUUACCUGUUUGAGGACGAAGACGAUGCUAUAUGUCGCCAGUUCGACUCCCAGUUUGAAACUGACGGACCAAAAAGUACCGAUGAUGGUUUUGAUCCAGUGCAGAUUGCUGACAAACUGAGGCGUAUUGGUGAUGCCCUGAAUGAAAACAUUAAAUUCAGAGAAGCCAUGACUGACCUGAAACAAGCAGCUGCACAAGAGACCUUCGAUGAGGGGUUCAGUCACUGUGUGGAGGCUGUGUGCGAGUCUCAUAUGCAGUCGACACUGACAGCUGAAGUGGCUCCAGAGGUUCACCUGAUCCAGGCCUCAGUGGCCUUUGGGCUCUAUGUUAAGAAGUCUUCACCAGAGCUGAAGAGGAAAGUUCAGAGUGCUGUUACUGCAUUCCUCAACAGGCGUGUUGGCACUUGGAUUGCCAAGCAGGGUGGAUGGGAUAAAUUGCCAGGGGUAUGAUUCAGGUGGAAAUUCUCAUUUGUCUGUGAUGACCUUCGAAAGCCACACAGUGGUUGCUGCUCAGGUUCUUUUAAAAUGCACACACACACACACACACACACACACACGUGUCUAAAUCACAACAAAAUCAGUGAUUAAAAAACAUGCUCACACUCCAUUCUCUGUAUUCCAGCACUGGCCUUACAAUGUACAGAUGCCAGCAGACCUUUAAUAAAACCACAAUUCAGCAGGCA
RNAcentral lists this long non-coding RNA (767 nucleotides) under Gouania willdenowi (blunt-snouted clingfish). RNAcentral describes it as "lncRNA (ENSGWIG00000026097.1)". Lineage: Eukaryota; Metazoa; Chordata; Actinopteri; Blenniiformes; Gobiesocidae. The record is from RNAcentral.